GGCCAUUAAAAACGAUGAUCUGGAGGGGCAGACAUAAUUACCCGGAGGGCCGGAUCCGGCCCCCGGGCCCUGACUUUUGCACGUGCUCUACAGACAGAAGACUCACCCACACGCCCGUUCUCCCCCAGCGCCCGUCUCCUGAGGCGCCUCGUCGACAUUCCCUUCCGGGACUCCUCCCUCUACCUCCUCUGAGAGAAGGCGGGGCGUGUCUGCUGGGGAGGGGGCGACUGCAGGACCCCCAGUUUGAGCUGCUGAGCCGUCCUUCCUGAGCUGGUAUGAAAACAGAGGAAAUGAGCCAAUGGUUCUCAGCUAGACCCGGGGAGGUGGGGGGUUGGGGGGCACCUUGGGGUGUCUUUUGUUCCACGGCAUUGGAGCCUUCUUCACCAGAACCGCCACGAAGAAUCCUCCGGUGUUCUGGUGAUGAGGAAGAAUCCUCAUGCUGACAUGAAACACAAACAGAAAACAUUCCUUCAAGGUGCAUGCUGGACAUCUUCUCUGGAUCUUUGGGGGGGAACAUCGUGGGCCGGAUCUGUGUGUGCCGGCAUUUGGGAACCUCGGUCCAGUCGCUGUACCACUGGCCCUCCUUGGUCAUCAGCUGGAGAAGAGAGUGCAUACUUAAUCCGUGGUUCCGCCUACCCCGGCAAUGAUAGAGGUCCGAGUCCUCGGGCUGCAGUACCUUCCAAGAAGUGACUCCAGGCAUGUACCUGAGUCCUGGCAGGUCCGCUGAGGCGUCGUCCAGCUCCAACGCUCCUGCAGAGAAGCAAUGGACGUGUCAAUGCUUCCCACGACCUCUACUGCUGCAGUCGCACCAAAAUUCACCGACAUGCACCACUAAUACAAAUUCAGUCUGAGGAGAACUGAGGAGGUCCAAACAAAUACCCAGAGAAUUAACAAAAGGGGACGCAAUGUUUUGGAAAACCAUGACAACAAAAUAACCGAUGGAGAGGAAUCACAACGGGAUAGGAGUCUCAUUUUAACAGAGAGACUGGGAGGUGUUUAGUGUGUGCUAAAGUGGGGCUAGCAAGUAGCAUGCUACUUUGAUUUAUCGUCAUUGUAUGAACUAUAUUUAUUAAUGUUUUAGGGCAUAUGUAUCAAAGUCAAGGCACGAGGGCAAUUCUAUCCGGCCCUCCAAAUCAUUUCAUUUUAUUGUCAUUAAAAGCCCGAUGUUAUCUUGCGCUCAUUUCUAACUUGUAUAAUUUUGACAAAAUAUAUUUUUAUGGAGAGUAAAAUAUUGAAAGUUAUUUAAAGGUUAAGUG
This 1256-nucleotide long non-coding RNA is filed under the name Oryzias javanicus (javanese ricefish). RNAcentral's name for it is "lncRNA (ENSOJAG00000020555.1)". The record is from RNAcentral. Lineage: Eukaryota; Metazoa; Chordata; Actinopteri; Beloniformes; Adrianichthyidae.